This 497-nucleotide ribosomal RNA is filed under the name uncultured bacterium. RNAcentral's name for it is "partial 16S ribosomal RNA". It matches the Rfam family "Bacterial small subunit ribosomal RNA", at positions 28 to 507 of the family's 1533-position model. The record is from RNAcentral.
GAUGAACGCUGGCGGCGUGCCUAAUACAUGCAAGUCGAGCGAACGGACGCGAAGCUUGUUGCUUUCUUGUUAGCGGCGCACGGGUGUGAAACACGUGUAAAACCUACUUAUCAGACUGAGAUAACUUGGGAAAACCGGCGCUAAUACCGUAUGAGAUUUUGAACCGCAUUGUUGAAUAGUGAAAGACGGUCUUGCUGUCACUUCUAGCGGGAUCCGCGCUGCAUUAGCUAGUUGGUAAGGUAACAGCUUACCAAGGCAACGAUGCAUAUACGACGGGUGAGGGUGAUCGGCCACACUGGAACUGGAACACGGACCAUACUCCUACGGGAGGGAGCAGUAGGGAAUCUUCCGCAAUGGGCGAAAGCCUGACGGAACAACGCCGCGUGAGUGAUGGAGGUCUUCGGAUCGUAAAACUCUCUUAUUAGGGAAAAACAUAUGUGUAAGGAGCUGUGCCCAUCUUGACGGUACCUAAUCAGAAAGCCACGGCUAACUACGUG